Molecule: ribosomal RNA, 493 nt
Filed under: uncultured bacterium
Lineage: Bacteria
Description: partial 16S ribosomal RNA
Rfam family: Bacterial small subunit ribosomal RNA
Source: RNAcentral
GACGAACGCUGGCGGCGUGCUUAACACAUGCAAGUCGAACGGUGAAGCGCCUUCCUUUUUGGUGGGUGUGGAUGAGUGGCGAACGGGUGAGUAACACGUGAGUAACCUGCCCCCCUCUUCUGGAUAACCGCAUGAAAGUGUGGCUAAUACGGGAUAUUCUGGGUCUGUCGCAUGAUGGGUCUGGGAAAGAUAUUGUUUCGGUGGGGGAUGGGCUCGCGGCCUAUCAGCUUGUUGGUGGGGUGAUGGCCUACCAAGGCGGUGACGGGUAGCCGGCCUGAGAGGGUGGACGGUCACACUGGGACUGAGACACGGCCCAGACUCCUACGGGAGGCAGCAGUGGGGAAUAUUGCACAAUGGGCGCAAGCCUGAUGCAGCGACGCCGCGUGAGGGAUGGAGGCCUUCGGGUUGUGAACCUCUUUCGCCAGUGAAGCAGGCCUGCCUCGUUUGUGGGUGGGUGGACGGUAGCUGGAUAAGAAGCGCCGGCUAACUACGU